AACGAACGCUGGCGGCGCGCCUAAUACAUGCAAGUCGAGCGAGAAGACGUAGCAUUACUUUUGUAAAGCGGCGAACGGGUGAGGAAUACAUGGGUAACCUACCCUCGAGUGGGGAAUAACUAGCCGAAAGGUUAGCUAAUACCGCAUACCACUCCCGGUCUGCGGAUCGGGAGGGAAAGCGAUACCGUGGGUAUCGCGCUCUUGGAUGGGCUCAUGUCCUAUCAGCUUGUUGGUGAGGUAACGGCUCACCAAGGCUUCGACGGGUAGCUGGUCUGAGAGGACGAUCAGCCACACUGGCACUGCGACACGGGCCAUACUCCUACGGGAGGCAGCAGUAAGGAAUAUUGCGCAAUGGGCGACAGCCUGACGCAGCGACGCCGCGUGGGGGAUGAAGGUCUUCGGAUUGUAAACCCCUUUCGGCAGGGAAGAUGGAACAGGCAACCGUUCGGACGGUACCUGCAGAAGCAGCCACGGCUAACUUCGCGCCAGCAGCCGCGGAAAUACGAAGGUGGCAAGCGUUGUUCGUAUUUACUGGGCGUACAGGGAGCGUAGGCGGUUGGGUAAGCCCUCCGUGAAAUCUCCGGGCCUAACCCGGAGAGGGCGGAGGGGACUGCUCGGCUAGAGGAUGGGAGAGGAGCGCGUAUUUCCCGGUGUAGCGGU
This 660-nucleotide ribosomal RNA is filed under the name uncultured bacterium. RNAcentral describes it as "bacterial SSU rRNA". It matches the Rfam family "Bacterial small subunit ribosomal RNA", at positions 28 to 682 of the family's 1533-position model. The record is from RNAcentral.